CUCUCUGUAGCUUGCUUGGUCAGAGCGCUGCACCGGAAUCGCAUGCAGGGUCGCAGGUUCGAUUCCUGCUAGUGGGC
Molecule: non-coding RNA, 77 nt
Organism: Paramuricea clavata
Lineage: Eukaryota; Metazoa; Cnidaria; Anthozoa; Malacalcyonacea; Plexauridae
Source: the annotation of a GenBank genome assembly